AUUGAACGCUGGCGGCAGGCCUAGCACAUGCAAGUCGAACGGUAACAGGAAGAAGCUUGCUUCUUUGCUGACGAGUGGCGGACGGGUGAGUAAUGUCUGGGAAACUGCCUGAUGGAGGGGGAUAACUACUGGAAACGGUAGCUAAUACCGCAUAACGUCGCAAGACCAAAGAGGGGGACCUUCGGGCCUCUUGCCAUCGGAUGUGCCCAGAUGGGAUUAGCUAGUAGGUGGGGUAACGGCUCACCUAGGCGACGAUCCCUAGCUGGUCUGAGAGGAUGACCAGCCACACUGGAACUGAGACACGGUCCAGACUCCUACGGGAGGCAGCAGUGGGGAAUAUUGCACAAUGGGCGCAAGCCUGAUGCAGCCAUGCCGCGUGUAUGAAGAAGGCCUUCGGGUUGUAAAGUACUUUCAGCGGGGAGGAGGGGAGUAAAGUUAAUACCUUUGCUCAUUGACGUUACCCGCAGAAGAAGCACCGGCUAACUCCGUG
This 490-nucleotide ribosomal RNA is filed under the name uncultured bacterium. RNAcentral describes it as "partial 16S ribosomal RNA". It matches the Rfam family "Bacterial small subunit ribosomal RNA", at positions 30 to 507 of the family's 1533-position model. The record is from RNAcentral.